UUGAAAACAUUGUAAAGGAAAGUUGAGCUGGCUCUUCAAGGGCAUGUGCUCGCUUUUCUUUCAAUCUUCAUCCACCUGUGCACUAUUUGUAGAGAGUUCUGAGAAGCCUGAGCCCUUUAACCGGGGCUCUAAGUAUCAGAUUCUCUAUGUCUUUAUACACCCUGAAUGUAUGUUUUUGAAUGUCUUUAUAAGGGACCUUAACUGGACCUUUUAAAAACUAUA
RNAcentral lists this unclassified non-coding RNA (222 nucleotides) under uncultured Marasmius. Its description in RNAcentral is "sequence contains ITS1". Lineage: Eukaryota; Fungi; Basidiomycota; Agaricomycetes; Agaricales; Tricholomataceae. The record is from RNAcentral.